Molecule: unclassified non-coding RNA, 432 nt
Filed under: soil metagenome
Description: partial contains 5.8S ribosomal RNA, internal transcribed spacer 2, and large subunit ribosomal RNA
Rfam family: 5.8S ribosomal RNA (bases 1-120)
Source: RNAcentral
GAUGAAGAACGUAGCGAAAUGCGAUACGUAAUGUGAAUUGCAGAAUUCAGUGAAUCAUCGAAUCUUUGAACGCAUAUUGCGCUCUCUGGUAUUCCGGAGAGCAUGCUUGUUUGAGUAUCAGUAAACACCUCAACUUCCAUAUCUUUUUUGAAAUGGGAGUUGGACUUGAGUGAUCCCAACGCUUUUCCUCACCGAAAAGUGGCGGGUUACUUGAAAUGCAGGUGCAGCUGGACUUUUCUCUGAGCUAUAAGCAUAUCUAUUUAGUCUGCCUAAAAAACAGAUUAUUACCUUUGCUGCAGCUAACAUAAAGGAGAUUAGUUCUUGUGCAGACUGAUGCAGGAUUCACAAAGACGGCUUCGGCCGACUUUGUAAACUCGAUCUCAAAUCAAGUAAGACUACCCGCUGAACUUAAGCAUAUCAAUAAGCGGAGGA